Molecule: ribosomal RNA, 738 nt
Filed under: uncultured Russulaceae
Lineage: Eukaryota; Fungi; Basidiomycota; Agaricomycetes; Russulales; Russulaceae
Description: eukaryotic LSU rRNA
Rfam family: 5.8S ribosomal RNA (bases 281-434)
Source: RNAcentral
UCUUGGUCAAUUUAGAGGAAGUAAAAGUCGUAACAAGGUUUCCGUAGGUGAACCUGCGGAAGGAUCAUUACCGUACAGCAGAGAUGCCCUAAGGGCUGUCGCUGACCUUUGCAGGUCGUGCACGCCCAAAGUGCUUCUCUCUCCCAUCCAUCUCACCCCUUUGUGCAUCACCGCGUGGGCCGCCCCCUAUCGGGAUCGGUUCACGUUUUUACACAGACACCUUUCUUUUAAUGCAUGUGUAGAAUGUCUUCCUUUUUUUGCGAUCACACGCAAUCAAUACAACUUUCAACAACGGAUCUCUUGGCUCUCGCAUCGAUGAAGAACGCAGCGAAAUGCGAUACGUAAUGUGAAUUGCAGAAUUCAGUGAAUCAUCGAAUCUUUGAACGCACCUUGCGCCCCUUGGUAUUCCGAGGGGCACACCCGUUUGAGUGUCGUGAACACCCUCAACCUUCUUGGUUUCUUGACCGGGAAGGCUUGGACUUUGGAGGUUGUCUUUGCUGGCCUCUCUUUGAAGCCAGCUCCUCCUAAAUGAAUUAGUGGGGUCCGCUUUGCCGAUCCUUGACGUGAUAAGUAUCCUUCUACGUCUUGGGUUUUGCACUGUUGCCCUGGAACCCGCUUCCAACGGUCUUCGUUUCGAAGACGAUGUUCGAGUUGCAUUGUGACUCGACCUCAAUGACCUUGACCUCAAAUCGGGUGAGACUACCCGCUGAACUUAAGCAUAUCAAUAAGGCGGAGGAA